ACUAAAGUGCCAGCACAUGGAUUGCAACCAUUCUCCGCGAAAUAAUACCUAACGCGGUGAUGCCGCGGAGAAGAGUGGUCGAAGAAACGUGUGUGUGUGUGUGUGAUGGUUAGUCUUAGUACGUAGGCGCCAUGGAUGGCGAAUCGUGCAUGCAACUAUUACGGGCCAGUAAUGUCUUUCGGAGAUUUCUACCUUCAGCUCGC
This is a non-coding RNA of Glossina morsitans morsitans, 203 nucleotides long. The record is from Rfam. NCBI's taxonomy places the organism in Eukaryota, Metazoa, Arthropoda, Insecta, Diptera, Glossinidae.